ACUUCGGGUGGCUGCAGUGAGGAAUAUUGGUCAAUGGGCGGAAGCCUGAACCAGCCAAGUAGCGUGCAGGAUGACGGCCCUACGGGUUGUAAACUGCUUUUAUACGGGAAUAACGCGCCUUACGUGUAGGGCUUUGCAUGUACCGUAUGAAUAAGGACCGGGUAAUUCCGUGCCAGCGGCCGAGGUAUUACGGAAGGUCCGGGCGUUAUCCGGAUUUAGUGGGUUUAAAGGGAGCGUAGGCCGCAUGUCAAGCGUGCUGUGAAAUGUCCGGGCUCAACCCGGGCCUUGAAGCGGGAACGGGCGUGCUUGAGUCCGCGGAAGGCAGGCGGAAUUCGUCGUGUAGCGGUGAAAUGCUUAGAUAUGACGAAGAACCCCGAUUGCGAAGGCAGCUUGCUGCAGCGGAACUGACGCUGAUGCUCGAAAGCGCGGGUAUCGAACAGGAUUAGAUACCCCAGUAGUC
RNAcentral lists this ribosomal RNA (460 nucleotides) under uncultured bacterium. RNAcentral describes it as "partial 16S ribosomal RNA". It matches the Rfam family "Bacterial small subunit ribosomal RNA", at positions 338 to 795 of the family's 1533-position model. The record is from RNAcentral.